This 102-nucleotide Y RNA is filed under the name Prolemur simus (greater bamboo lemur). RNAcentral describes it as "Y RNA (ENSPSMG00000008025.1)". It matches the Rfam family "Y RNA". From Rfam's summary of the family: Y RNAs are components of the Ro ribonucleoprotein particle (Ro RNP), in association with Ro60 and La proteins. The Y RNAs and Ro60 and La proteins are well conserved, but the function of the Ro RNP is not known. Lineage: Eukaryota; Metazoa; Chordata; Mammalia; Primates; Lemuridae. The record is from Rfam by way of RNAcentral.
GGCUGGUCUGAGUGCAGUGGUGUUUACAACAAAUUGAUCACAACCAGUUACAGAUGCCUUUGUUCCUUCUCCACUCCCACUGCUUCACUUGACUAGCCUAAA